RNAcentral lists this ribosomal RNA (494 nucleotides) under uncultured bacterium. RNAcentral's name for it is "partial 16S ribosomal RNA". It matches the Rfam family "Bacterial small subunit ribosomal RNA", at positions 28 to 507 of the family's 1533-position model. The record is from RNAcentral.
GACGAACGCUGGCGGCGUGCUUAACACAUGCAAGUCGAACGGUGAAGCGCCUUCCUUUUUGGUGGGUGUGGAUGAGUGGCGAACGGGUGAGUAACACGUGAGUAACCUGCCCCCUUCUUCUGGAUAACCGCAUGAAAGUGUGGCUAAUACGGGAUAUUCUGGGUCUGUCGCAUGAUGGGUCUGGGAAAGAUAUUGUUUCGGUGGGGGAUGGGCUCGCGGCCUAUCAGCUUGUUGGUGGGGUGAUGGCCUACCAAGGCGGCGACGGGUAGCCGGCCUGAGAGGGUGGACGGUCACACUGGGACUGAGACACGGCCCAGACUCCUACGGGAGGCAGCAGUGGGGAAUAUUGCACAAUGGGCGCAAGCCUGAUGCAGCGACGCCGCGUGAGGGAUGGAGGCCUUCGGGUUGUGAACCUCUUUCGCCAGUGAAGCAGGCCUGCCUCGUUUGUGGGUGGGUUGACGGUAGCUGGAUAAGAAGCGCCGGCUAACUACGUG